UGGGGAAUCUUGCACAAUGGGGGAAACCCUGAUGCAGCGACGCCGCGUGAGCGAUGAAGCCCUUCGGGGUGUAAAGCUCUUUCGGCAGGGAAGAUGAUGACGGUACCUGCAGAAGCAGCUGCGGCUAACUACGUGCCAGCAGCCGCGGUAAUACGUAGGCAGCAAGCGUUGUUCGGAGUUACUGGGCGUAAAGGGUGUGUAGGCGGUUGCUUAAGUUUGGUGUGAAAUCUCCCGGCUCAACUGGGAGGGUGCGCCGAAUACUGAGCGGCUAGAGUGCGGGAGAGGAAAGUGGAAUUCCUGGUGUAGCGGUGAAAUGCGUAGAUAUCAGGAGGAACACCGGCGGUGUAGACGGCUUUCUGGACCGUAACUGACGCUGAGACACGAAAGCGUGGGUAGCAAACA
This 402-nucleotide ribosomal RNA is filed under the name uncultured prokaryote. RNAcentral's name for it is "bacterial SSU rRNA". It matches the Rfam family "Bacterial small subunit ribosomal RNA", at positions 355 to 774 of the family's 1533-position model. The record is from RNAcentral.